Molecule: ribosomal RNA, 468 nt
Filed under: uncultured bacterium
Lineage: Bacteria
Description: partial 16S ribosomal RNA
Rfam family: Bacterial small subunit ribosomal RNA
Source: RNAcentral
GACGAACGCUGGCGGCGUGCUUAACACAUGCAAGUCGAACGGAAAGGCCCUGCUUUUGUGGGGUGCUCGAGUGGCGAACGGGUGAGUAACACGUGAGUAGCCUGCCCUUGACUUUGGGAUAACUUCAGGAAACUGGGGCUAAUACCGGAUAGGAGCUCCUGCUGCAUGGUGGGGGUUGGAAAGUUUCGGCGGUUGGGGAUGGACUCGCGGCUUAUCAGCUUGUUGGUGGGGUAGUGGCUUACCAAGGCUUUGACGGGUAGCCGGCCUGAGAGGGUGACCGGCCACAUUGGGACUGAGAUACGGCCCAGACUCCUACGGGAGGUAGCAGUGGGGAAUAUUGCACAAUGGGCGGAAGCCUGAUGCAGCAACGCCGCGUGCGGGAUGACGGCCUUCGGGUUGUAAACCGCUUUCGCCUGUGACGAAGCGUGAGUGACGGUAAUGGGUAAAGAAGCACCGGCUAACUACGUG